UACGGAGGGGACUAGCGUUGUUCGGAAUUACUGGGCGUAAAGCGCACGUAGGCGGAUUUGUAAGUCAGGGGUGAAAUCCCGGGGCUCAACUCCAGAACUGCCUUUGAUACUGGGGAUCUCGAGUCCGGGAGAGGUGAGUGGAACUGCGAGUGUAGAGGUGAAAUUCGUAGAUAUUCGCAAGAACACCAGUGGCGAAGGCGGCUCACUGGCCCGGUACUGACGCUGAGGUGCGAAAGCGUGGGGAGCAAACAGG
RNAcentral lists this ribosomal RNA (253 nucleotides) under uncultured bacterium. RNAcentral describes it as "partial 16S ribosomal RNA". It matches the Rfam family "Bacterial small subunit ribosomal RNA", at positions 524 to 776 of the family's 1533-position model. The record is from RNAcentral.